GUGCCAGCCGCCGCGGUAAUACGUAGGGGGCGAGCGUUACCCGGAAUUACUGGGCGUAAAGGGGGCGUAGGCGGUGAUACAAGUCAUCUGUGAAAACCUAUUGCUCAACGCUAGGCUAGCGGAUGAAACUGUAUUACUUGAGUGCACCAGAGGUAGACGGAAUUACCCGAGUAGGGGUGAAAUCCGCAGAUACGGGUAGGAACGCCGGUGGAGAAGUCGGUCUACUGGGGUGCACCAGACGCUGAGGUCCGAAAGCUAGGGGAGCAAACCGGAUUAGAUACCCGGGUAGUCCUAGCCGUAAACGAUGAUCACUAGGUGUAGGGAGUGAUAAACUCUCUGUGCUGAAGCGAACGCGCUAAGUGAGCCGCCUGGGGAGUACGGCCGCAAGGCUGAAAAUUAAAUAAAUUGGCGG
RNAcentral lists this ribosomal RNA (412 nucleotides) under uncultured bacterium. Its description in RNAcentral is "bacterial SSU rRNA". It matches the Rfam family "Bacterial small subunit ribosomal RNA", at positions 505 to 916 of the family's 1533-position model. The record is from RNAcentral.